Molecule: ribosomal RNA, 830 nt
Filed under: uncultured bacterium
Lineage: Bacteria
Description: bacterial SSU rRNA
Rfam family: Bacterial small subunit ribosomal RNA
Source: RNAcentral
CAAGUCGAACGCGAAGGUCCCGCAAGGGAUUGGUAGAGUGGCAAACGGGUGAGUAACACGUGGGUGACCUGCCUUCGAGUGGGGGAUAACGUUUCGAAAGGAACGCUAAUACCGCAUGACAUCCUGCCUUUGAAGAGGUGGAGAUCAAAGCCGGGGAUCGCAAGACCUGGCGCUUGAAGAGGGGCCCGCGCCCGAUUAGCUUGUUGGUGGGGUAACGGCUCACCAAGGCAACGAUCGGUAGCCGGCCUGAGAGGGCGGACGGCCACACUGGGACUGAGACACGGCCCAGACUCCUACGGGAGGCAGCAGUGGGGAAUUGUUCGCAAUGGGCGCAAGCCUGACGACGCAACGCCGCGUGGAGGAUGAAGAUCUUCGGGUCGUAAACUCCUUUCGAUCGAGACGAACGGCCUCCGGGUAAAUAAUCCGGAGGAGUGACGGUACCGAGAGAAGAAGCCCCGGCUAACUCCGUGCCAGCAGCCGCGGUAAUACGGGGGGGGCAAGCGUUGUUCGGAAUUACUGGGCGUAAAGGGCUCGUAGGUGGCCAACUAAGUCGGACGUGAAAUCCCUCGGCUCAACCGGGGAACUGCGUCCGAUACUGGAUGGCUUGAAUCCGGGAGAGGGAUGCGGAAUUCCAGGUGUAGCGGUGAAAUGCGUAGAUAUCUGGAGGAACACCGGUGGCGAAGGCGGCAUCCUGGACCGGUAUUGACACUGAGGAGCGAAAGCCAGGGGAGCAAACGGGAUUAGAUACCCCGGUAGUCCUGGCCCUAAACGAUGAAUGCUUGGUGUGGCGGGUAUCGAUCCCUGCCGUGCCGAAGCUAACGCGUUAAGCA